UAUCUCUGUAGAGUCUGCAUAUCAAUAAGCGGAGGAAAAGAAACUAACUAGGAUUCCCUCAGUAACGGCGAGUGAAGCGGGAAGAGCUCAAAUUUGAAAUCUUCAAGGUUUUACCUUGACGAAUUGUAGUUUAAAGAAGUGUUUUCUGUUGGAGUUUUGGUAAAAGUUCUUUGGAAUAGGACAUCAUAGAGGGUGAGAAUCCCGUAUUUGACCAUUACUUUCCAGCGUUGUGAUACACUUUCAAAGAGUCGGAUUGUUUGGGAAUGCAGUCCAAAAUGGGUGGUAAAUUUCAUCUAAAGCUAAAUAUUGGCGAGAGACCGAUAGCGGACAAGUACCGUGAGGGAAAGAUGAAAAGAACUUUGAAAAGAGAGUUAAACAGUACGUGAAAUUGUCAAAAGGGAAGCGUUUGACACCAGUGUUGUUUCUACGAAAAUCAAUUUAUGAUGGCUUGAUGCUAAGCUUUAAGACUUUAUCCGCUUGUUGUUUAGUUUUCUUGUCUUUGUGAAUGCACUUUUCGUGGACAAGUCAACAUCAAUUUCUUUUGCUGUAAAAGGGUAAGAGGAAGGUGGCUUCGGCUUCGGUUGAAGUGUUUAUAGCCUUUUAUCUCUGCAGUCGGAGAGAUUGAGGUCUGCAGCGUAGACUCUUCGGGGUUAGAUACGUCGGUGCUAAGCUAUAGCUUUUCAUAGACAACUUGUUGACUAUGUUUAGUCAUGUGGCUUACCCGCUGGCGCUAUUUUACCUACGCUUAGGAUGUUGAGUCAUCACACAUCUCU
RNAcentral lists this ribosomal RNA (773 nucleotides) under uncultured Neocallimastigales. RNAcentral's name for it is "partial large subunit ribosomal RNA". It matches the Rfam family "Eukaryotic large subunit ribosomal RNA", at positions 24 to 618 of the family's 3401-position model. The record is from RNAcentral. Lineage: Eukaryota; Fungi; Neocallimastigomycota; Neocallimastigomycetes; Neocallimastigales.